Molecule: ribosomal RNA, 253 nt
Filed under: uncultured bacterium
Lineage: Bacteria
Description: partial 16S ribosomal RNA
Rfam family: Bacterial small subunit ribosomal RNA
Source: RNAcentral
UACAGAGGGUGCAAGCGUUGCUCGGAAUCAUUGGGCGUAAAGGGCAAGUAGGUGGUCUCAUUUGUCUAGGGUGAAAUCCUUGAGCUUAACUCAAGAAGUGCCCUAGAAACGGUGGGACUAGAGUUCUGGAGAGGGUCGUGGAAUUCCCGGUGUAGCGGUGAAAUGCGUAGAGAUCGGGAGGAACACCAGAGGCGAAGGCGGCGACCUGGACAGAUACUGACGCUCAACUGCGAAAGCGUGGGGAGCAAACAGG